GGAGCUAAAGCUAGUAAUACAAUCACAUUGAACCAUUCCUUUGAAAUACCCAAAUCCUUGUCUGAUUUGAAACCCUCCUUCAAAAUCCCCAAAUUCACGUCUAAGCCCAAAAUUUGGAUUCAAGCUUUUAAAUCAAGGAGAGGCUUUCAAAUCAAGGUUGAUAACACAAAGGGACCCUUUGAACAUGAGUUUCAUUUCUUGCUUGUUCUCACGAGGUCGUCGGCAUCAACUCGAUGGAGGGUCCAUGUAGGCAUAACCCAAGCUAAUCGUUGAACUUACCCUGUUCUGAGGGUUCUUGUUGCCUUCCUCUAGAGAAAGGUCAAUAGAAAUUGUCCUCGAAUGAGCGGGCAGAUGAGUGGGCAGAGUUAUUUUUAAAUCCAUUAUUGUCUAAAAGACCAUUAUUGUUGAAGAGGAGGCCAUCCCCGCAUCAUUCACAGGGAUAUUAAAUCAUCAAACACUCUUCUUGAUAGCAACUUUGAAGCUCAUCAAGUCUCGAUUUAUUAGAGUCAAGAUUGAAAGGGACUACUACUAAAUACACAAUGUUGCCUGAGAGACUAAGUG
Juglans microcarpa x Juglans regia is the source of this 561-nucleotide long non-coding RNA. RefSeq lists it as uncharacterized. The transcript is spliced from 4 exons. NCBI's taxonomy places the organism in Eukaryota, Viridiplantae, Streptophyta, Magnoliopsida, Fagales, Juglandaceae. The record is from RefSeq and is a predicted model, not a curated record.